Long non-coding RNA from Perca flavescens (yellow perch), 190 nucleotides. RefSeq lists it as uncharacterized. NCBI's taxonomy places the organism in Eukaryota, Metazoa, Chordata, Actinopteri, Perciformes, Percidae. The record is from RefSeq and is a predicted model, not a curated record. The transcript has 3 exons.
CACACACUAGACGUUCACACGGAGGGAACCAGGUCAGACGAGGUAAUUAACGCAUCCAGGAUUUAUUUUCCAAGCGUGCGACAGGAACAGAGGUUUUUGAACCAUAGCGCUGCGGUCGGCCAAUUUCAUGGCACCGUGAUGAAUGCCAGGGAGGAGACUACUCGCCACUGCCGGCAGAUUUGAAAGCCUG